ACGAACGCUGGCGGCAGGCCUAACACAUGCAAGUCGAGCGGGAAGCCACCUUCGGGUGGUGGAGAGCGGCAGACGGGUGAGUAACGCGUGGGAACGUACCCUUUGGUUCGGAACAACUCCGGGAAACUGGAGCUAAUACCGGAUGAGCCCUGCGGGGGAAAGAUUUAUCGCCGAAGGAUCGGCCCGCGUCUGAUUAGCUUGUUGGCGGGGUAAUGGCCCACCAAGGCGACGAUCAGUAGCUGGUCUGAGAGGAUGAUCAGCCACACUGGGACUGAGACACGGCCCAGACUCCUACGGGAGGCAGCAGUGGGGAAUAUUGGACAAUGGGCGCAAGCCUGAUCCAGCCAUGCCGCGUGAGUGAUGAAGGCCCUAGGGUUGUAAAGCUCUUUCGCACGCGACGAUAAUGACGGUAGCGUGAGAAGAAGCCCCGGCUAACUUCGU
This 441-nucleotide ribosomal RNA is filed under the name uncultured bacterium. RNAcentral describes it as "bacterial SSU rRNA". It matches the Rfam family "Bacterial small subunit ribosomal RNA", at positions 29 to 506 of the family's 1533-position model. The record is from RNAcentral.